Oryza brachyantha (malo sina) is the source of this 727-nucleotide long non-coding RNA. RefSeq lists it as uncharacterized. The record is from RefSeq and is a predicted model, not a curated record. NCBI's taxonomy places the organism in Eukaryota, Viridiplantae, Streptophyta, Magnoliopsida, Poales, Poaceae. The transcript is spliced from 3 exons.
UAGAACGUGAAUCGUCCUCGCCUCGUCGGUCAUUCUGACGUGUGAUGUUCCCCAGGCGAUUCUGUUCGUUCUCAGGUUCUCUGUUUGUUUCUUCCCAAAACAAGCGCAGAUAACGCCGCCUCUUCGCUUGAAGUGCCAUGCCGGCAGGAUUAAUGGAGGGAAAUCAUCCAAUUUUAUCGAUCUCCAGCUACUUGUCUGCAGUUUGCAACGAAUCUACUCCAAAUCAACUCCUGUUACCCGUUGCAUCCAUGCCCCUGACUUGCAGUGCUAGUUCCUGCAAAUUCGUUUUCCCCUCUGCUAAAGAUUUCAUUCAGUUUCAGUGAUUCAGAUUGCAGUCAUUCAGAUUAGCCGAUCUGUGAUCGUCUGCAGUCUUUGGUGAUUCGGUCCGCUGCUCCAUUGGUGUUUUUCUUUUCAGAGAACAAAGUUUGAGGACUGAGGUAUUGAUGUUUCAUUAGCACAGUUUCAGAUUAUCAGAUUUUGAUCAAUUUGCACAUCAAAGGUACUACUGUUGCUUCUAAAAUAUCAUCUAGAAUUAUGAAGUAUUCAUCUGGAAGUGAAAAAAGAAAAAAAUGGAAAGAUUUUUUUUUUUUGUAUGUGAGGGCCUCCAUCUUUGUUUUGCCCCUAGGCCCACUAAAUGUGAGGACCGGCCCUGGUUGUACAUGUUGAGCUUAAUUGCUCAUCUCUUUUCGUAAAAUGAUGAAUAUUUUGAUCAAAUGACCUAAUUACC